UACGGGGGGGGCAAGCGUUGUUCGGAAUUACUGGGCGUAAAGGGCUCGUAGGCGGCCAACUAAGUCGGACGUGAAAUCCCCAGGCUCAACCUGGGAACUGCGUCUGAUACUGGAUGGCUUGAAUCCGGGAGAGGGAUGCAGAAUUCCAGGUGUAGCGGUGAAAUACGUAGAUAUCGGGAAGAACACCUGAGGCGAAGGCGGCUAUCUGGCGGUGCACUGACGCUAAGGCGCGAAAGCGUGGGGAGCAAACAGG
Molecule: ribosomal RNA, 253 nt
Filed under: uncultured bacterium
Lineage: Bacteria
Description: partial 16S ribosomal RNA
Rfam family: Bacterial small subunit ribosomal RNA
Source: RNAcentral